GUUAAUGUAGCAAAACCUGGACUUGCAGAAGAUCUAAGCCCUUAAAAUAGAGGUUCAAAUCCUCUCAUUAACU
RNAcentral lists this transfer RNA (73 nucleotides) under Boana ericae. RNAcentral describes it as "Hypsiboas ericae tRNA-Leu". It matches the Rfam family "tRNA". Rfam says of the family: Transfer RNA (tRNA) molecules are approximately 80 nucleotides in length. Their secondary structure includes four short double-helical elements and three loops (D, anti-codon, and T loops). Lineage: Eukaryota; Metazoa; Chordata; Amphibia; Anura; Hylidae. RNAcentral also lists the same sequence under 1 other name. The record is from RNAcentral.